CAGCAGCCGCGGUAAUACGGAGGGGGCUAGCGUUGUUCGGAAUUACUGGGCGUAAAGCGCACGUAGGCGGCUUGGUAAGUUAGAGGUGAAAGCCCGGAGCUCAACUCCGGAAUUGCCUUUAAGACUGCCGAGCUAGUAGGUGAGAGAGGUAAGUGGAAUUCCGAGUGUAGAGGUGAAAUUCGUAGAUAUUCGGAAGAACACCAGUGGCGAAGGCGACUCUCUGGUCUGUAACUGACGCUGAGGAGCGAAAGCGUGGGGAGCGAACAGGAUUAGAUACCCGUGUAGUCCCUGUCUCUUAUAC
This 301-nucleotide ribosomal RNA is filed under the name uncultured bacterium. Its description in RNAcentral is "partial 16S ribosomal RNA". It matches the Rfam family "Bacterial small subunit ribosomal RNA", at positions 509 to 807 of the family's 1533-position model. The record is from RNAcentral.